This 315-nucleotide long non-coding RNA is filed under the name Androctonus crassicauda. The record is from RNAcentral. Lineage: Eukaryota; Metazoa; Arthropoda; Arachnida; Scorpiones; Buthidae.
AGCGAUGUUUCAUGCGUUUGUUCGUACUAUGUAAGUGUGAAUGGACGCAUGAAGCAUCUAGCAUUGAUGUCGAUUGUUGCAUCGCUGGCAUCGGGUGUCGAGGCGGGUGAUGCGUUCUGUGUGGGAGAGCAUCGCUUACUUCCCUCCCUGUGUGUCGAGGCGGGCGAUGCGUUCUGUGUGGGAGGGCAUCGCUUGUUUCCCUCCCUGUGGUGGAGCAUCGUUUCGCCCGUACUGCGUGGUGGACUUGCGCAGGUGGCGAUCUUUCGGACUGGCUUUUUUCUAUGUUCGGUUGUUUGUGAGACACUCUGUAUACAG